RNAcentral lists this non-coding RNA (32 nucleotides) under Rattus norvegicus (Norway rat). Lineage: Eukaryota; Metazoa; Chordata; Mammalia; Rodentia; Muridae. The record is from RNAcentral.
UCUUGGCUCCUCGGAGCUAAACUGCUUCCCUU